GAUGAACGCUAGCUACAGGCUUAACACAUGCAAGUCGAGGGGAAACGACAUCGAAAGCUUGCUUUUGAUGGGCGUCGACCGGCGCACGGGUGAGUAACGCGUAUCCAACCUGCCCACCACUUGGGGAUAACCUUGCGAAAGUAAGACUAAUACCCGAUGAUAUCUCUAGAAGGCAUCUGAAAGGGAUUAAAGAUUUAUCGGUGAUGGAUGGGGAUGCGUCUGAUUAGCUUGUUGGCGGGGUAACGGCCCACCAAGGCAACGAUCAGUAGGGGUUCUGAGAGGAAGGUCCCCCCACAUUGGAACUGAGACACGGUCCAAACUCCUACGGGAGGCAGCAGUGAGGAAUAUUGGUCAAUGGGCGAGAGCCUGAACCAGCCAAGUAGCGUGCAGGAUGACGGCCCUAUGGGUUGUAAACUGCUUUUAGGCGGGGGUAAAGGGCGGACGUGUUCCGCCUUUGCAAGUACCGCCAGAAAAACGGACCGGCUAAUUCCGUG
Molecule: ribosomal RNA, 494 nt
Filed under: uncultured bacterium
Lineage: Bacteria
Description: bacterial SSU rRNA
Rfam family: Bacterial small subunit ribosomal RNA
Source: RNAcentral